Echinops telfairi (small Madagascar hedgehog) is the source of this 122-nucleotide small nucleolar RNA. Lineage: Eukaryota; Metazoa; Chordata; Mammalia; Afrosoricida; Tenrecidae. The record is from Ensembl.
CAGCAACACUCCGUGGCAGAUGAUCAAACCGUCUCAAAUUUGCGCUCACUACAGCAAGAAACUCUAACCUAUUCCGGUGUUCUCUCCUUAGUGAGACUAACCAUUAUAUAGACUUAAACAAG